UCUCGUACACAUGUGGAGCUGCUCAUUAGUGACCCUGGAACCAUAUUUAGUUUGGAUUAUGUUCAUUGUAGAGAAAGCUGCCUCACAGUUGUAUGUAGAGCCAAACAUGGUCAGGAUGUAUAGGGCUACUGUCCUCAGACCUGGGAAAGCUGUCUCAGGGACGCUGUCUUCAGAUUUGAGUGGAUUGGUCCGUAUUGGGCAGCUUCUGGGUCCGGGUCCGGACCACGGUCUGUCUGUUGGUGACCUAUGGUCUAAAAUGUAGGUCAUGCUAAUGUGGUCAUGUGGUGUUUCUCUCUCACAGCUGAUGGACAUGAACACACUAGAGGCCACAUCCUCCCUGGCACAAGUCCUUUUGGGCUUCACAAUGCUGGCCGAUAAUUGCGGCCACAUUGCUAGGGAGGCGAAUUGUGGCCACAGUGUGGCAGUCAUUACCCUGGCUUCUUUAUCAAUUGCUCUGGAGGUCGUCAUGAUAAUCUUCCUUGGCUUCAUGUUGUGGAAAACACCAAGAAGCCAAGGGAGGGUUAAAAUUAUGAACUGGGCCUUCUUGGGCUGCAUCAUUGCCCACGUUCUCUUCAGGGUGAUCAUCGCCGCCCUGGUCAGUGCACAACAUUGUCAGGUUCAAUAUGAGAAGAAUAGCAACACGUGUUUGGUUAUAUGUUAUAAAUGAGUUAAUGUCCUUAGCCAUGGUUUAAAUCAGACUUUAUACAUACAGAUACAAAUAUGAAUAUGUGGAGCAGUAAACAGCUACAGAUUCAGGUACCAACACAGACAUAAAUGAAGACAUGAGACACAGAAGACAUGUUUGUCAGAUUUACCAACACAAAAAGGACAGAUGACAAUGUGUUCCAGUCAGUUGUGUUCCAGUCUUUAAAUAAGCUUCAGACUUUUUCAAGGUCAAUUAUUUCUUUGUCCUUUUUGAGUUGGCAGAUUUUCCGUGUGCAACAAUGAACAAUUUAACUAUUAAAACUAUUAAAAUAAACAGAACACAAACAUGUCUUCUGUGUCUCAUGUCUUCAUUCAUUAUUAUUUAAUAAUAAUAAUAAUUAUGUGGUGUAGAACAGAAUGACGGACUGAGGCUGGAAUUCUACGGCGUGUUUCGGAUCGGUUCUUCUGUCACAAAGAUUUUAGCCAAUAAGUGUGUAGGAGGAGCAGGA
This is a long non-coding RNA of Tachysurus fulvidraco (yellow catfish), 1154 nucleotides long. RefSeq lists it as uncharacterized. NCBI's taxonomy places the organism in Eukaryota, Metazoa, Chordata, Actinopteri, Siluriformes, Bagridae. The transcript is spliced from 2 exons. The record is from RefSeq and is a predicted model, not a curated record.